GAUGAACGCUGGCGGCGUGCCUAACACAUGCAAGUCGAGCGCGGUCCCUUUGGUGCUUGCACCAAAGACGACUGAGCGGCGGACGGGUGAGUAACACGUAACUAACCUGCCUUUCAGUGGGGGACAACAGGAGGAAACUCCUGCUAAUACCGCGUACCUUUUAACAAUCGCAUGAUUGAUAAAAGAAAGGUGGCCUCUAUUUAUAAGCUACCGCUGAAGGAGGGGGUUGCGUCUGAUUAGCUAGUUGGUGGGGUAAAGGCCUACCAAGGCGAUGAUCAGUAGCCGGUCUGAGAGGACGAACGGCCACAUUGGGACUGAGACACGGCCCAA
Molecule: ribosomal RNA, 330 nt
Filed under: uncultured bacterium
Lineage: Bacteria
Description: bacterial SSU rRNA
Rfam family: Bacterial small subunit ribosomal RNA
Source: RNAcentral